GGAAUAUUGCACAAUGGAGGAAACUCUGAUGCAGCGACGCCGCGUGGGCGAAGAAGGUUUUCGGAUCGUAAAGCCCUUUUCUAGGUGACGAGAAAGGACGGUAGCCUAGGAAUAAGUGUCGGCUAACUACGUGCCAGCAGCCGCGGUAAAACGUAGGACGCGAACGUUAUCCGGAGUUACUGGGCGUAAAGCGCGUGCAGGCGGUUUGGUAAGUUACCUAUGAAAGCUCUCGGCUAAACUGGGAGAGGAUAGGUGAUACUGCUUGACUUGAGUGAGAAAGAGGGAAGUAGAAUUCCGGGUGUAGUGGUGAAAUGCGUAGAUAUCCGGAGGAAUACCAGUGGCGAAGGCGGCUUCCUGGUUCUCAACUGACGCUGAGACGCGAAAGCGUGGGUAGCGAAC
This 399-nucleotide ribosomal RNA is filed under the name uncultured bacterium. Its description in RNAcentral is "bacterial SSU rRNA". It matches the Rfam family "Bacterial small subunit ribosomal RNA", at positions 358 to 773 of the family's 1533-position model. The record is from RNAcentral.